CAAACACUUUUAAACAUUUAUAAAUCAUCAUCAAUGGUAUUUAAACUUACCGAGCAUUAUGCAUUCAUGUUUUGAGUCUUCGAGUCUUCGAUCUUCAUCUCUUCUUCUUCAAACAUUCAAGACUCCGACUAACAUCACGAAAUAUGCCAAUAUAAAAUUCGUAACAAUCUCCCCCUUUGGCAAUUUCAUGACAAAACUAAAAAAUACAUCAAAAUACUCACAACGCUCAACUCUCCAAACAAAAAAAAAUGAAAUUCAUUGCCAUCACCAAAACAAUGAACUUCUCGCGUGAAAAAUCCAAAGAAAAUACAAAAUUACAAUUUCGCAACUCCUAAACAAACUCUUGACUUAAACACAA
This 358-nucleotide long non-coding RNA is filed under the name Ananas comosus (pineapple). RNAcentral's name for it is "long non-coding RNA (ACOM_LNC009167)". The record is from RNAcentral. Lineage: Eukaryota; Viridiplantae; Streptophyta; Magnoliopsida; Poales; Bromeliaceae.